UGAUUUUUUAUUAAUACAGGCUUUGUUUUCUAAAGAUAACUCGCCUUCAAGCCUUGUUGGAAUCCUGUGAUAAUUUCUUUUCACUCCACGUUCUCCAUCAAGAAUUUUGUGGAACUUUGUAUUCUGUUGAAUACCAGAAUUAUAUCAGCAAUUCCCAAGCCCCAAAGUCACCAAAUGGGCAUCAUCGUUGACAUCAGUUUCUCUGAAUGUCCGUGUUUUUCAUGGCAUUGACAUCCUCCAUUUGGGAUUUCUGUGAUUGUUUUUACUAACAAUUGGACUGAAGUUGUAGAUGUGGAGGAAGAAGAGACAGAGACUCCAUCGUGAAUUCAUGGUACCACACAGUCCCCUGACGCUCACAUCAUGGAUUUAUUUUGUCCAGUGAGAGGCCCAAAAGCUUCAGCAUAAACAAUAUCAUCGUGUAGAAGGUUAACUCGACCGUGAUCACGGGCUACAUUCUCCAUACCAACUUCAUAGCUCCUGUGAGAAAAUAAACUCCUGCAUCCAGGAGGCGUGGAGUAAGAGACACAGCUGACUUGACUAUAUUCCUUACUUCCAAAAAGAUUGUAGCAGUAAUUCAGGUACUGUUAUUUGGGGACAUUU
Molecule: non-coding RNA, 600 nt
Organism: Chlorocebus sabaeus (green monkey)
Lineage: Eukaryota; Metazoa; Chordata; Mammalia; Primates; Cercopithecidae
Source: RefSeq, a predicted model, not a curated record